CCGUCUCUAUACAAUCGCUCUCAUAAUAAUCGUUUUUGUUUGAUUAUUAUUAUAUUAUUUAUUUAUUUUUGUGUUAUUUUUUUUACAGUCGGCGUUAUGGUAAAAUGGCAAAUAUAAGAUUUUUGCGAACCUUGGACUAAAUACUUAGCCAGUGUCAGUCAAGAAACGUGUAUUCUGCAGUAUACAUGUUAUACAUGCUAUAUGUCAGUGUGCAGCACCUGCAGUAAUCAUGAUAUUUUUUAGUGUUCGUACUUCAUAUCCUGCGUUACAAAUAACUUAAUAUUUUUUCUUCUUCAGUGUAGUAUAGUAAAUUCGAUUUACAAAAUAUUAUCGAAAUGAAUGAGUUGUUGUUCAAACUUACAUCUGUUUCCUGCGAGUUUAACCGUUCACGUGCGAAAUCCCAAUAUGUAUCGGAGUCCAACUCCUGGGAAGAAUAAUACGUAUGUGCGAGUCAUCACCUAGAAUCUAUGGUUAGUGGUGCAUUCAUUGCGGUUCCAGGACGACACAUGCAGGAACGAGUAUCAUCACAGCCAUCACGAUGUACUGCGUACAAUGAAAUAAAUAUUUCGCCUUUGUUCAUACAUUAUUUAUUUUUUUUACGGAAUUAAUUCCGUUUAAAAUAAUGUAUAGCGUUGCAGUAUGACAGACAUAAUGAUACCUAUGAUGAACAUUAGUUUAGUGAUUUACGUAUUAUUUAGACCACAACUAUACAGUUAUAAGUUAUAACACUUAUAAGUUAUAACUUACGACUAUUUGAAACCAAUUUGUGUUUUCGUAUGUGUCCGAUUAAACGCUAUUACACGUGAACGUACACGACGUAUUACGUGUAAGUUGAACACA
Molecule: long non-coding RNA, 840 nt
Organism: Metopolophium dirhodum (rose-grain aphid)
Lineage: Eukaryota; Metazoa; Arthropoda; Insecta; Hemiptera; Aphididae
Exons: 2
Source: RefSeq, a predicted model, not a curated record